UCAGAGAAUGUGCAAUGGAAUGAAAAUAUUUUAUCUAAAAAUGCUGAAUACAGCUUUCUCCCUUUGCCCUCUACUUCGCAGGCACCACAAGGACUUACUUUUGAAAAAACACUAGAUUCUACAUUAACUGAACGUGAGAAGAUCCUGCUGAGUCAUUUGACUCAAACUUAAUUAAGCUUAAAGCGUUUGGCAGUCGAAAUGCGAACUGUGAGGAAGACACUAAUAAAUUGUUUGUAGCUUAUAACGAUAUUAGCGGGGUCCGCACUGACAUGCCUAAUAGAA
Melitaea cinxia (Glanville fritillary) is the source of this 282-nucleotide long non-coding RNA. RefSeq lists it as uncharacterized. The transcript has 3 exons. The record is from RefSeq and is a predicted model, not a curated record. NCBI's taxonomy places the organism in Eukaryota, Metazoa, Arthropoda, Insecta, Lepidoptera, Nymphalidae.